CAGUCGCCGCGGUAACACGAAGGGUGCAAGCGUUAAUCGGAAUUACUGGGCGUAAAGGGUGCGUAGGCGGUGAGUUAAGUCUGUUGUGAAAUCCCCGGGCUCAACCUGGGAAUGGCAAUGGAUACUGGCUCGCUAGAGUGUGAUAGAGGAUGGUGGAAUUCCCGGUGUAGCGGUGAAAUGCGUAGAGAUCGGGAGGAACAUCAGUGGCGAAGGCGGCCAUCUGGAUCAACACUGACGCUGAAGCACGAAAGCGUGGGGAGCAAACAGGAUUAGAGACCCGGGUAGUCCCUGUCUCUUAUAC
Molecule: ribosomal RNA, 301 nt
Filed under: uncultured bacterium
Lineage: Bacteria
Description: partial 16S ribosomal RNA
Rfam family: Bacterial small subunit ribosomal RNA
Source: RNAcentral